GCGCCCGUAGCUCAGUGGAUUAGAGCAUUGGUCUUCGGAACCAGGGGUCGCGGGUUCGAAUCCUGCCGGGCGCGCCA
Molecule: transfer RNA, 77 nt
Filed under: Dehalococcoidia bacterium
Lineage: Bacteria; Bacillati; Chloroflexota; Dehalococcoidia
Description: tRNA-Arg
Rfam family: tRNA
About the family: Transfer RNA (tRNA) molecules are approximately 80 nucleotides in length. Their secondary structure includes four short double-helical elements and three loops (D, anti-codon, and T loops).
Source: RNAcentral